Non-coding RNA from Trichonephila inaurata madagascariensis, 73 nucleotides. NCBI's taxonomy places the organism in Eukaryota, Metazoa, Arthropoda, Arachnida, Araneae, Nephilidae. The record is from the annotation of a GenBank genome assembly.
GGCCCGUUAGCUCAGCUGGUUAGAGCGUCAGCGAAUAACGCGAAGGUCAGUGGGUUCGAUCCCCUACGGGCCG